UCUCACAACGAACGACAAAGUGCGAUACUUAAACAUCCAUCGAUUUAACGACGAACGACAAAGUACGAUACUUAAACAUCCAUCGAAUUAACGACGAACGACAAAGUAUAACCCUAAUGUGGGUGGCACUUAAACAUCCAUUGGAUAUAUUGAUCGGUCGGAAAAUGAAUCGUAAUAGCGAUCGAGUUAAUACUUUGUAUCGUAGCAGCACCCCCCUCUACUAAUUAUUGAUUUUGUGUGUGUUGUGAAGUGAACAACAAAUAACUCGACGUAGGAAAUGAAUUUGAACGUCGUUCUAUUGCCCAAUUUCCAGUCCCAAAGUCUGCUAUUUAUACACGAAUUUGGACAUGCUUACGGACCGUAAGCAUUAUCCCUUACGGUCCGUAAGGGACACCUAAUUACUAUAGGCUUGCCGCGUGUGGGACUAGCCUUGAUGAGUCGAUGGAAUCUCGAAAUUCAAUUUAGACAGCUUUUUAUUUGGAUAAUCGGAUUGUGUAGAAUUACUUGGGGGUCUCAACUAAGGUUUCCUAUUGGGUAAAAAUAAUAGAUAUGACUUUUGAUAAAAUAAAAUAAUAAUAGUUUUGGGUAAAUCACAAAAAGGAAAUAAAACGAUGAGAAAAGAGAAUGGACCCACUUUGUAACUUUAGGAUUCAACUAGAAAACCUACUGGUAGAAUUUUGGGUAUAACUUCUGAGCUAUUUUAAAAAUAUAUACAUAUAUAUUUGUACUUGUGUUAAGUAUAGUACCCCUAAUUCAACCUU
Molecule: long non-coding RNA, 761 nt
Filed under: Helianthus annuus (common sunflower)
Lineage: Eukaryota; Viridiplantae; Streptophyta; Magnoliopsida; Asterales; Asteraceae
Source: RNAcentral